RNAcentral lists this ribosomal RNA (230 nucleotides) under uncultured bacterium. Its description in RNAcentral is "partial 16S ribosomal RNA". It matches the Rfam family "Bacterial small subunit ribosomal RNA", at positions 104 to 334 of the family's 1533-position model. The record is from RNAcentral.
CGGGCUGAGUAACGCGUAGGUGACCUGCCCCGAAGUGGGGAAUAACUGCCCGAAAGGGUGGCUAAUACCGCAUGUGGUGGAACGUUCAUUCGUUCCAGUAAAGCCGCAAGGCGCUUCGGGAGGGGCCUGCGUCCGAUUAGCUCGUUGGUGGGGUAAAGGCCUACCAAGGCGAUGAUCAGUAGCUGGUCUGAGAGGAUGGACAGCCACACUGGGACUGAGAUACGGCCCAG